AUGAGUUUUUCGCAAAGGAUGAAGACAGUAAAUUUCAGAAGAAGUUGCUUGAAGAUAUUUUAGCAGCAUGGGUGAGCUCUCUGUCAAUGGGGAUGAUCUUCUUUUGCUCUCCGAUAGUCAGCGUGUUCACAGACCUGUUUGGUUGCCGAAAAGUAGCUGUUGUUGGCGCAGCAGUGGGGUUUGCUGGACUCCUUUCAAGUUCCUUUGUAAGAAUAAAUUCUAAGAAAUAUAAGAGCAACGGACGUGUUGGACGUACACACUCGAAGAUGAGGAAGCAGGAAAUUUAGUUAUUUAUCUUAGUCAUCAUUAGAAGUUGAGUAGGAAAGAGAGAGUAGGAAAGAGCAGGUGAAUAAACUACAGUUACAUCUACUUAUGUCUGCCCUUUUCCACCCUUACCAGAGUAAGUAGAAGGGCAAUCAGAAGCAAAAUUCAGAAGGGGUUUCAUACGUAGGUGAAAGCAUAUCUGUGAAGAUAGGUUUGCAACAAUGUGGUUUUGUGCCUGUGCUCUGAACCAGAUAAAUGUAAGCUGGCUGUGAUCUGGAAGAUGGAUAUCCAUGCUAUGUGGCACUAUGCCUAACCUGAUACAUCUAGUUUGGGCAUAUCUGUCCUUAUGUGAAAACAUAUUCACAAGUUUACAGGAAGAGAAGACAAAUUUGGGUAGUUCUAGUUUAGGUACUGAGAUUAGUGUU
This is a non-coding RNA of Struthio camelus australis, 689 nucleotides long. The record is from RefSeq and is a predicted model, not a curated record. NCBI's taxonomy places the organism in Eukaryota, Metazoa, Chordata, Aves, Struthioniformes, Struthionidae.